UUCUUUGAUCCCCGUCUUUUUCUUUUCUUUUUCUUUUUACAUCCACACAACCAUGAGCCUUUUCUUUGUUUUUUCUAUCUUUUCUUUUUCUUUGCUCUAUGGUUUCAAUGGUGAUUUAUUUUUCUUGUUUCUUUUCAUAUUUUCACCCUUUCAUAAAAACUCACUUUUCCAAGUUUCUAAUCAAAUCUUUUUACUUUACUCUCCCCAACUUUAGAUUCCAAAACCAAAUUUAUUCAAUAAUGCUCCCUACUUAGACA
RNAcentral lists this long non-coding RNA (257 nucleotides) under Lathyrus oleraceus (garden pea). RNAcentral describes it as "Pisum sativum (pea) long non-coding RNA (PSAT_LNC001409)". The record is from RNAcentral. Lineage: Eukaryota; Viridiplantae; Streptophyta; Magnoliopsida; Fabales; Fabaceae.